This is a long non-coding RNA of Motacilla alba alba, 390 nucleotides long. RefSeq lists it as uncharacterized. The record is from RefSeq and is a predicted model, not a curated record. Lineage: Eukaryota; Metazoa; Chordata; Aves; Passeriformes; Motacillidae. The transcript is spliced from 3 exons.
GUUCCCGGCGUUCCCGUUCCCGGUUUUCCCGGUGUUUCCCGGCGGGCGGGGCUCUCCCGUUCAUUCCCGGCGUUCCCUCCAUUCCCGGUUUUCCCGGUUUUCCCGGUGUUUCCCGGCGGGCGGGGCUCUCCCGUUCAUUCCCGGCGUUCCCUCCAUUCCCGGUUUUCCCGGUGUUUCCCGGCGGGCGGGGCUCUCCCGCCGUUGCCGCCCCCGGGGCCGCCCCCGCCGCUCCCGGCUCCGCCGCCGCCGCCGCAGCGCCAUGUACGGGCUGUGCGGCUGCUGCGGCGCGCUCCGGCCCCGCUACAAACGCCUGGUGGACAACAUCUACCCCCAGGAGCCACAGGAGGGAUUGGUGAAGUCCAACAUGGAGAAGCUGUGUUCCCGUCAUUC